ACUUAGGUGUUGUUGGGUAGGGGAGCGUUCUGUAAGCCGUUGAAGGUGACCUGUGAGGGUUGCUGGAGGUAUCAGAAGUGCGAAUGCUGACAUAAGUAACGAUAAUGCGGGUGAAAAACCCGCACGCCGGAAGACCAAGGGUUCCUGUCCAACGUUAAUCGGGGCAGGGUGAGUCGACCCCUAAGGCGAGGCUGAAAAGCGUAGUCGAUGGGAAACAGGUUAAUAUUCCUGUACUUGGUGUUACUGCGAAGGGGGGACGGAGAAGGCUAGGCUGGCCGGGCGACGGUUGUCCCGGUUUAAGCGUGUAGGGGGAGUGACCAGGUAAAUCCGGUUGCUUAUCAACCCUGAGGCGUGAUGACGAUGCACCACGGUGCAGAAGCAGUUGAUGCCAUGCUUCCAGGAAAAGCCUCUAAGCAUCAGGUAACAUUAAAUCGUACCCCAAACCGACACAGGUGGUCAGGUAGAGAAUACUCAGGCGCUUGAGAGAACUCGGGUGAAGGAACUAGGCAAAAUGGUGCCGUAACUUCGGGAGAAGGCACGCUGGCGUUAGGUGAAAGGACUAGCUCCUGGAGCUGAAGCCAGUCGCAGAUACCAGCUGGCUGCAACUGUUUAAUAAAAACACAGCACUGUGCAAACACGAAAGUGGACGUAUACGGUGUGACGCCUGCCCGGUGCUGGAAGGUUAAUUGAUGGGGUCAGCCGCAAGGCGAAGCUCUUGAUCGAAGCCCCAGUAAACGGCGGCCGUAACUAUAACGGUCCUAAGGUAGCGAAAUUCCUUGUCGGGUAAGUUCCGACCUGCACGAAUGGCGUAAUGAUGGCCAGGCUGUCUCCACCCGAGACUCAGUGAAAUUGAACUCGCUGUGAAGAUGCAGUGUACCCGCGGCAAGACGGAAAGACCCCGUGAACCUUUACUAUAGCUUGACACUGAACAUUGAGCCUUGAUGUGUAGGAUAGGUGGGAGGCCUUGAAGUGUGGACGCCAGUCUGCAUGGAGCCAACCUUGAAAUACCACCCUUUAAUGUUUGAUGUUCUAACUCGGCCCCAUGAUCUGGGGUGAGGACAGUGUCUGGUGGGUAGUUUGACUGGGGCGGUCUCCUCCCAAAGAGUAACGGAGGAGCACGAAGGUUAGCUAAUCACGGUCGGACAUCGUGAGGUUAGUGCAAAGGCAUAAGCUAGCUUGACUGCGAGAGUGACGGCUCGAGCAGGUACGAAAGUAGGUCUUAGUGAUCCGGUGGUUCUGAAUGGAAGGGCCAUCGCUCAACGGAUAAAAGGUACUCCGGGGAUAACAGGCUGAUACCGCCCAAGAGUUCAUAUCGACGGCGGUGUUUGGCACCUCGAUGUCGGCUCAUCACAUCCUGGGGCUGAAGUAGGUCCCAAGGGUAUGGCUGUUCGCCAUUUAAAGUGGUACGCGAGCUGGGUUUAGAACGUCGUGAGACAGUUCGGUCCCUAUCUGCCGUGGGCGUUGGAAGAUUGAGAGGGGCUGCUCCUAGUACGAGAGGACCGGAGUGGACGAAUCACUGGUGUUCGGGUUGUCAUGCCAAUGGCAUUGCCCGGUAGCUAAAUUCGGAAGAGAUAACCGCUGAAAGCAUCUAAGCGGGAAACUUGCCUCGAGAUGAGUCUUCCCUGGGACUUAAAGUCCCCUGAAGGAACGUUAAAGACUAUGACGUUGAUAGGCUGGGUGUGUAAGUGCAGCGAUGUAUUGAGCUAACCAGUACUAAUGAUCCGUGAGGCUUAACCUUACAACACCGAAGGUGUUU
RNAcentral lists this ribosomal RNA (1756 nucleotides) under Yersinia pestis. RNAcentral's name for it is "partial 23S ribosomal RNA". It matches the Rfam family "Bacterial large subunit ribosomal RNA", at positions 1211 to 2925 of the family's 2925-position model. The record is from RNAcentral. Lineage: Bacteria; Pseudomonadati; Pseudomonadota; Gammaproteobacteria; Enterobacterales; Yersiniaceae.